Molecule: long non-coding RNA, 343 nt
Organism: Antechinus flavipes (yellow-footed antechinus)
Lineage: Eukaryota; Metazoa; Chordata; Mammalia; Dasyuromorphia; Dasyuridae
Exons: 2
Source: RefSeq, a predicted model, not a curated record
CUUCACACUUGUCCUGCUUGGUCCCCUGAGAGGAGAAUGAGUAACUCUGACAGAAAAUUGCAGAGAGACCAGCAAUAUUAUAUGAUGAUCAAUUCUGAUGGACAUGACUCCUUCCAACAAUGAGAUGAUUGAGGCCAGUCCCAGUGAUCUUGUGAUGAAGAGAGCCAUCUACACCCAGAGAGAGGACUAUGGGAACCAAGUAUGGAUCACAACAUAAUAGGCUCACUUUUUUUGUUGUUGUUUGCUUACAUUUUGUUUUCUUAAUCAUUUUCUUUCCUUUCUGAUCUGAUUUUUUAAUGUAGCAAAAUAAUUGUAUAAAUAUAUUUACAAAUAUUGGAUUUAA